UCUCUCUCUAAAUGAUUGCUCUCUAGAACCAUCUGUUUCUCUCCUUCUUCUCUGAUGAAACGUUGUCUUUCCGACCAUACCCCUCCCUCACUUCUCUCGAUCUUCAGUCACCAUGGAACCCUCAUCAUCGUUGCUCACCUCCGAAGCUCGAAGCCCAAAGUCAUCCGCCAUGAAAGACGGUCACUGAAGCUUUACUUGGGUCUGUUUCCGGCUUUUCUCCGGUUUUUUUUGUCCGAUGAUGCCUUCUAUGGCAUCAUAUACGAGUUUCACGGCCAGGUUCUUCGUUUUCCUUAAUUUGUGUGCAAACCCUAAUUUUUCUACUCAAACCUCUUUAAUAUCUACUCUUUUAAAACAACUUUCAGUUUGAUUUUGUUUUAUACUCUAUUUUUACUUGGUGUUUCCGAUUAUUUCAAACUUCAGAUGGUUACCACUCUUUCAAAUUAGGGUUUCUGACCCCCUUCUUCAAAAUCGUUUCUUCUGCUCUUUGUGAGUACUAUAUGUUUGUUUAUGUUUAUUUGUUUUCUUCGUUUGUUUGGUGUCCUUGUUAACCUGGGUCCAUGCUUUAAUUUUUCUUGCUAGGGUUUCUGACCCCUUUUAAUCAUUAUGCCUCUGUUUCUUUUGGGUAUUAUGUGAUUACUCCCAUGCUAUGUGCUUGAAACCUUUUGUUUUCUGAGUUUCAUUCCUUAAAUCUCUUCUAGGGUUCCGAGUCCCCAAUGUUUUAUGCAAUUUCUUACUUAGGGUUCUUAGUUUUGUGAUAGUUGUCCUUAAAUAAAUUCGAAUGCCUUUCUUUACUGAAUAUUCUGUUAAUUCCGAGCAUCUUUUUGAAUCCCUAGUUUGUAGGUGUUCCUACACUGAUUUUUCAAAUUAUUUCCUUACUUAUGAGAUUGCUCUCUAGGUUUGGGACUGAUUCUCUUUUAUUUUUUGUCCUGCCAUGAUUCUUUGAUUGAUUUCCAUGGUUAAUUUAUAUGGUUACCAUAACUGUGCACUUAAAUAUAUUUUUGUCUAUCCUGCAUAUAUUUUUCCUUGCUUGAAGCAUUUGUACCUAGACUGUAUUACAUGCAGCAUGCUUACUGCUUUUGUUAUAGUAUAUUCAGUCAUCAGAUUUAUUCUUUCCUUACUUGGUAGCCUAUACUCCUAUUAGAAUCAUCAGUCCCUGAUUAAUUUGAAUUAAGAUCCUGUGACUUAUUCAAAUUGGUACUGUUCUAUAAUUAGGUACAUGUUACCCUAUUUUUUACUAUUUUUCAAAAAGCUAUAAGUACUACUCCCCUCUUCUCACUUGAUACAGAGCCACACAAAUACAAUUUCUCUAAAUCUUCUUUCAAAAAACACACACUGCAUAUCCCUCACAACCUCAGACUCUCUGAAUUCUCUCUUUCUCUGUUGUUACUACACUCUCUCAUUCUUCUAUUUGAACACUCAAUCGGCUGAAAGCCAAGAUUGAGUAAGCUUGGUUGUCUACUAUACUACUGGGUUUCUACUGCAGUAUUUGUUUGGGUUUGCAUGUUCCUUGCUUCUCUGCACUGCUGUUCUCACACUACUGCUCUCAUUCUCUGCACACUUUGCUCUCCCUUUGUGCACUAUUGCUCAUUGCUAUUGUGUUCUAUUACCUGCAACUGGUAUGCCACCUAUUUAAGAUAUAGCCUACAAAACAACAUGCUUCUAUUAGUUUUGCACUUCAGAUUAUUUCUUGUGUGCUUUUACCUAUGGUUCUGUUGCUCUUAUUGUCACUAGCAUGUACUUGUUAGUCUACCUAGUUUAACUUAGAAUGUUUCCCCCUACCCCCCUUUUCUUGUCUCGAUGUAUAUUUUCCUCUUCCAUGUGCACUGCUGCUUGGCAACUUAACAACCCUGAAACCUCUCCCUGAGGUUGAUUAUAUUGGGGUUUGGUGCAGUAAGAACUAAACCCCUGGUUUACAAUCAUGUCUUGUUACUUUCCUCCAAUAAGUUGUCUGUACACUUUACUUACUUGUUCCCUUCCCCUUUGCCCCCUGUUUGUGUGAUGCCAUGAGAUGGUCCAAAUGAUUUCAAAAGAACUUCUUCAGCUCUUUCUACUAUUUUCUUAAACUGUCUCAACUUUUCAAACUCUUUCAAGUGUUUUCUUAGACUGUCUCUCAACUAUUUUCAACUCUCUCAAUUCUAAUCAUAAUCUCAUUCUUAGAACCUUAGGGUUUGUCCUCUUAGUGUAAGCAUUGCCUUGAGAUCCUUGAGCACCCAUUGAAUUUUGAUGCAGAAGGCUAGCACUUCUACACUUGUCUAAUUAUGAUGUUUUGGGUGCUUGGUAUUGGUCAUGGGUUCAAACGAACCCUUAGGGAACUUUGCCGCAUCCACGCCUUGGUAAUGGCUGUGAAACUAGAAAGAAGUGAGGUUGGAGAUCUUAGGCCUGGCUGUAGGCUCCCUAUAGAAUAGCUUCUUUUUUUAUCACUAUUGUAUUUUUAAAUUACUUGGUUUGUAAUAACUUGUAAAGAACAAUGGGGAUGAUUGUGAAAUUGGGGAGGGUUAUGUAUGAUUAUUAAGGGUAUGGGUAGAAAAUAUAUUCGUAGGAUUUUACUUACCUAUUUGCGAAAUAGAAAUCAUGUUUAGGACAUGCAUUUUACAUGUAGGAAUCCUGUACAUAUGUCUUUUCUUUCAGCUUGUUAUUUUGCCUAUUUUUACAAUCACAAUCAGUUAAUAAUUAAGUUACUACCAAUGCAUUUAGAUACCAUGUUUUAGGGCCUUUAUAUGCAUUAGAUAUCAUGUACUUAGGGUUUUUAUUUGCAACUGUUUAAUGUCUCACUAAUUUUGUUAAACAGACGUAAAACUGGUUAAUAGGUUCCUUUUAAAACUGGGAAACAAACACGCAUGUUCACUUUCUCUUAUGGUUAAACAACGCCUAAGCAAACCUUAGGCUGGAUAAAAUUGGUUAAUCGCCG
Molecule: long non-coding RNA, 2908 nt
Filed under: Nicotiana benthamiana
Lineage: Eukaryota; Viridiplantae; Streptophyta; Magnoliopsida; Solanales; Solanaceae
Description: long non-coding RNA (NBEN_LNC040328)
Source: RNAcentral